AUGCAUGUCUAAGUCCAAGCUGUGUUCACACGGCGAGACCGCGGACGGCUCAUUAAAUCAGUCGUGGUCCAAAUGGGCCAGUGCAAAUCCUACUUGGAUAACUGUGGUAAUUCCAGAGCUAAUACAUGCAACUGAUAUCCCGAAGGCUGGUGCUUGCUUGUCUUGCGCUUCGCUCCGACGGAUGCUUUUAUUAGACCAAGCCGCUGAGGACUUGAGGGUGUUAAAACCUUCCUGUUCGACUCGUGUGAUGGUGACUCUGGAUAACCAAUUCUGACAAGCGCACGUACUCCUCUUCUGAGCGAGACGGCGCUGCCACUUUCGAGUGUCUGCCUUAUCAGCUAUCAACCGUUCGUUAUGCGCGACCGAUGGCUUUGACGGGUAACGGGGAAUCAGGGUUCGAUUCCGGAGAGGCAGCCUGAGAGACGGCUACCACGUCCAAGGACGGCAGCAGGCACGCAAAUUACCCAAUCCCAGCAAAUGGGGGAGGUAGUGACGAAAUCUAACGAUGCGGGCGCCCUUUCUGGGGCCCCGCAAUCGGAAUGGGCACUUUCUAAAACACCUGUUGAGAACCUACUGAAGGGCAAGUCUGGUGCCAGCAGCCGCGGUAAUUCCAGCUUCAGCAGCAUCUAUUAAAGUUGCUGCGGUUAAAAGGCUCGCAGUUGAAUGUCUGUAUCGAGCGCAGGUCAGGUGGACGUUGGGGCGUGGAAGUACGGGCAGUUGGAUGUGCGUGCUCGCGCGUUGUCACACUCCUUCUCUUCGGAGUUGCCUGUGUGUGUUCUUCGUGUGUCUCGUGUGUUCUUCGGCUUUUCCACACAC
This 816-nucleotide ribosomal RNA is filed under the name Chaetogammarus marinus. RNAcentral's name for it is "bacterial SSU rRNA". It matches the Rfam family "Eukaryotic small subunit ribosomal RNA", at positions 51 to 755 of the family's 1831-position model. The record is from RNAcentral. Lineage: Eukaryota; Metazoa; Arthropoda; Malacostraca; Amphipoda; Gammaridae.